Molecule: ribosomal RNA, 492 nt
Filed under: uncultured bacterium
Lineage: Bacteria
Description: partial 16S ribosomal RNA
Rfam family: Bacterial small subunit ribosomal RNA
Source: RNAcentral
AGUGAACGCUGGCGGUAGGCCUAACACAUGCAAGUCGAACGGCAGCACAGUAAGAGCUUGCUCUUACGGGUGGCGAGUGGCGGACGGGUGAGGGAUACAUCGGAAUCUACUUUUUCGUGGGGGAUAACGUAGGGAAACUUACGCUAAUACCGCAUACGACCUACGGGUGAAAGCAGGGGAUCUUCGGACCUUGCGCGAUUGAAUGAGCCGAUGUCGGAUUAGCUAGUUGGCGGGGUAAAGGCCCACCAAGGCGACGAUCCGUAGCUGGUCUGAGAGGAUGAUCAGCCACACUGGAACUGAGACACGGUCCAGACUCCUACGGGAGGCAGCAGUGGGGAAUAUUGGACAAUGGGCGCAAGCCUGAUCCAGCCAUACCGCGUGGGUGAAGAAGGCCUUCGGGUUGUAAAGCCCUUUUGUUGGGAAAGAAAAGCAGCAGGUUAAUACCCCGCUGUUCUGACGGUACCCAAGGAAUAAGCACCGGCUAACUUCGUG